CAUCUUUGAGGUAUUCGAGGCAUGGCCCUGUCUCCAGGAAGAACAGUGCCUCUUGCCACAAGAGGAGUCUAGGAACAUGCUAUCCUCUGAUUCAGUGAAAGGGGCAGUCUCAACACCAAUGACUUCUGCAGUGCAAAAAAAUGCCUCCCCAGUUGUUUCUGGUGCUGAAUCAGCCCCGGAGUUGUGUCUACUUCCUGGGCUGCAAUGUGGUCACUCCAAACAACAACAAUAAUGAUAACAACACUAAUGAUGGCUUCUGAUGUCUCAGAGAAUAUGAAUUAGGCAUUAAAUGUGCCUGUGCCACUUGGCAAGUAAAGCACGCAUUAGUGAUUACCAAUCAUAGUAUUUCAACUUACCCCCGUCAUGUGUGUGUGCCUGUAAAGUAAUACAAUAUUAUUAUUAAGCAGACAUGUAAGUUUUCUUGCUUAAUUUUUAGAUUUUUACUUAUAUCAUUUUAAUGGUAUAAUAAAAUAUUAAAAAUAAAGGAGGUUUUGUUACUUAUAUACAUUAACUACAUUAUAUUCUUUAUAUGUGGCCCAAGACAAUCCCUCUUCACUCAGUGUGACCCAGACAAGUACAAAGUUUGGGCAGCCCUGGGCUAAGCACUAAGUACUCUCAGAUGGUACUGGAGGCCUUGCAGGGAGCAGGGAGCGAUGUGGGAGUGCAUGGGGCUGUGUUAUGGGGCUCAGAAAGGAAAAGAUGAGUAAUUGGACACUCUGGAUCAGCAAGAGGGUGCUGGGGAUGUUGGGCAGGGGGCUGGAAGGUAGCAGACAGGGCACCCCAAGGAAGAGAGAAAGAGGACUUCGGGCGGGUUGUCCACAUCCCUUCCUUACCAAGGCCUAACUUCCCGGGAACUCCCAGGAAGACACAGCCUCACCUAACUACCAGUAAAUAGGUCACGGAUUCUCUUUGGGUUGAGCCUCUUUGGAGGAUACCCUCAGAAAGACCCACUCAACUACACACUGGUGAAGAGGAAUGAGGCUGAAAGGCAGUGUCUGAAGGUUCUUCCCCGGGAAGACUAUCCUCCCACUAACAUGAUGGUCCCCAAAAGAGUAAUGUGUAGGACAAAGCCUUAAAAAUGUCAACCCACUACACAAAUGGAAAGCUAUGUUAUCAGCACUAUCAUUUUAUCCUUGGGAUCCUAGCUUGAAAUUUGGUCAGGACAAAUGGCAGUACCAUCCUUCACAACCCUUCCCGAUAGCUCCCCACUUACUGAAAAGCACAUUUAAAAAAAUAUCGUGCAGGAUAAGGUUUGAAGCUCCUGUCUUAGGGUUGUGUUUGCAACUCAAGUCAAUGCAUUUAUUAUUAUGAUAUCUAAUAUUGUCAUAAAGUGUUCUCACUCUGUCUCUCUCUCUUUUUCUAAACAGAAAAGAUUAUAAAGAUACAAUAUUUCAGCCAGGCAUGGUAGUGCACUGCUAGUUCCAGCUGUUUAGGAGGCUGAAGCUGGAAGAUUGCGUCCAGGCCUAUGAGCUCAAACUCAGCCUAGGCCUAGAUAGACCUCGUCUCAAAAAAAGGAAAAAGGGGCCAGGGAUUUAGCUCAGUGGUGCCACUGCCUGCCCUGCAAGUGCAAGGACCUGAGUUCAAUCCUUGGUACAAAAAAGAAAAAAAAAAAAAAGAAAAAAGAAGACAUGGUAUUUCAGAAGACUUCAUGCAUGUUCUACCAUUUAUGUAAAAUUUUAAACCAUGCAACCUAGACCCAAUAUUACUACCCGAGUAUAUGUUAAUGGUAUAGAAUGGGUAUGCAAGUGAUGAAUCCCCAAUUCUGGAAGAUGAUUAGAGCAGGUUCGUAUCUGGAAACCAUCCCUGGCUUGGAGCAGCUGCUCCAGCUGUUAAGCAAGGAAAGAUGGGCACUCUCUGGGGAGGGUGAGGAGAUAAAUGAUUUAGGAGGUUUGUAAUUUUACCACAUUUUUUCUAAGGCUGAGUGUUACAUGGAGAUCUGUAAUAUUACAUACUUUUGCAUGUUCGGAAUAUUUCAUAAUUAAUAAAAAUCUCAGCCCAAGUCCCGAUGUCUGCUUUCAAGGUGCUCAUAGGUUGGAACCAGGAUGUCAGACUACUGGCUGACAUUUAUUCUCCCAGCACCAAUACUCUUUGGCUGAAUGCCUUGAGGGAGUUACUCACCUGCUCUGAGACGGUGUCUUCAAUAUAAAGUAGUGAUGAAAGAGGUCUGUCUCCCAGAGCUCUCAAGAUUAAAGGAGCUAAGCAACACAUGGCAGCUAGUACUAUACCCAGAUUAUAGAAAGGAAUUACAGCUAUGCAUGCAGUAUCUCAGCUCUGUCCAGCAACCCUGUGAAGAUGAGGAAGCCAACUCAGAUAGGUCAGAGCCAGAACAUGAUGUUGCUGGGAUUUGAACCUAAACACUAUCCAUUCUUUUGACCAGGCUGAGUGUUAUAGGAGUUGUAAAAUAGAAUUUAACUGCUGCCUCUCCAAGUGUCUUUGUUCCAUGGUCAUGGCUGCCUUGAUAACCCGAAUCCUCUCAGUGUUUACCUUUCAUCGUCAUUUUGACUUUAGGGAAGAGUCAGAAGUCACACCGUGCCAGAUUCUGUGUCCAGUGAACGAGGACACAUCACAAUGUUUUCACCAGCCUGCUUUUUCACUGGAUGGCAUGCAGCAGCAUUCACCAUAUUUUUGAUCACACCUCUUAAAGACAUUCAUGAAAGGGAACUUCCAGAACUGCUUCAGAAAGUGGCAAGAACAUUAGGAUAAGUGUACUUGAAGUGAGGGGGAGUAUUCUGAGGGGGAUUAAUAGCAAUGUGUCUUUUACUGUAAUAUAAUUUAAAAAAAAUUAAAUAUUCGCUGUAUGUUUUUAUCAACCUCACAUUUUCCUUUCUUUUUCUUUCUCUGUGUCAUUCCAGACAUCUAACACCCUGAGGACUUUACAGUGUUGGCCUCAACACUGUAGUGUGCUGUGUCCAUGCUCCCUGAACUAGGACAGGGUUGUCCCCGCUCUGUGCUGUGGCCAACACAUAGACCUGAUGACUUUCUAUUGGUAGAAGAGACCUCUGAUCAUCCUCUUUCCAGCUGACAAAGGUUACCUGCACUCCCAGAAUGCCCUUGGGCAAUCGGAGGUGCAGAGCCCCAUGUGUGGGCUGAGCUUGGCUGCCAUCUUGCCUGGUAUUGACAAAGAGGAAUUAAGUCAUCCAUAAAACUCUGUGGUGGAGGCCAAGGUUGUGGUUUGAAGAAGGCUGGUUCAACACAAGGCUGCUUUACCUUCAUCAAGCCCACAUCUCUCACUGUUUCUUCUCAAGACUCAGUGCAAAGGAAGACUUGAGUUUGAAUCUGUCUCUUCCACUUGCUAGCUGUGUGACUAUUCCUUCCUGAGUUGUUGCUUCCUCAUCUUAACAUGGUGGAAGCAAUCUUGCCUUACUGAGGGUUGAUGAGUAGCAUAAAUGAUAUGAUUAAUCAGGGGCAUUUUGUAUGACCUGUUAUUGUGAGUUCAGGUAAUAUUUUAUAGACAGGAAGCUUGACACUGGAGGAGAAUCCUGAGGGCUGGACUCAUGCCAUCCCUUGCAAACUGCCACUCCUGAUCACCACUUCUCUUGUUGGCUCAGAGCCACUUCUCAGAGCAAACGUUGUCCUGAACCCUGCACAUGGCAACCUCUCCUCCUCUUCCCAGUGUCACCUCUGAGCAGGAGUGGCGUUGGGUAAGGAUAGGGUGGGAGGAGGAGUGACAAUCACGAAUGGAUGUUUUAAGAAAAUUUGCACUUAGUAAUAACUGAGGCAAUAGUCAAUGACUAGUGAUAUCUGAAGGGCAGCAGCCUGCUUCCCAGGAAAGCUGACCUGCCAUGCUGCUCCUGGGAGCCUCUCUAUCCACUUACUUCUUUCUGAGCCUUUUCUGCAUGUUCAUUUGACCCAGACUUCUUCUGUAUACAAAGCUCAAGGGUCAGGGCACCUAUAGUGGAGUUUACAAAAGGACAGCCUUGGGGAUUUUUUUAAGGGCUUGUGAUUUUGAGGUCUCCUCAUUGAUGCUAAUCAAUGAGGCUGGUAGAACUGGGUAUGCGUUAAAUGACUGAUGUCUGAAAAUACAGAGACACGUGCACAGAAUAUACAUUCCUUCUAGAAAGAAUUAGUGUGCCAAACACAGAAGCAGGGCUGGGGCUUGGUUUCUGUCCUUAUAGAACUUAUAGUUUUGUAUGGGACAUAGGUAAGUAAAUUCAGUAGGGUAAAGGCCUAAACUGGGUAAGUGGGGCUUGAGGAAUCCUUGUCCUCAGAGUGGUGGGAAGACUGCUGAUUCUGGUGCCAGGAAACCUGGGUUUUCAGUCCAGGCUCUGCCCUUCCUCUCCUGGCCUCUGUUUCCCCAUCUGCAAAUGGAAGGGAACAUGUUGCUGUACUCAGUAUGCUAAGAGUUGUUUCAGCUCUAACUUUUUUUUUUUUUUUGUCACACAGAGGCUCUAAGAUUGUGAGGAACAACUGGCAUUUUGGUUUAAAGUAUAAAUUGGGUAAUUUCCUGUUCAAAGAAAAGAAAGGCGCCAAAGAGGAGAAUCUUGUUUCUGUUUCUUCUUCAUCUUUCUUUGGGAAGGUAGAAGAAGCACAAUGGAAAGAGCAGAUCUGGACACCCAGGGAUCGAACUCAGGUCCUUGCAUUUGCACAGCAGGCAGCGGAACCACUGAGCUAAAUCCCCGGCCCAAGAAAUGUCUUUCUGACAACGAACUGCCUGAAAAGUGCCUUCUUCUGAUGGACAGUGCCUCAGCAUGGCCUCCAGCCUUGGUGGAUGACAUGGAUGCUGAGUGUGACUUCACAAAGGUCAAAUUCCUCCUCCCCAAUAUGACACCUCUUCUCCAACCUUUAGACCAGCAAGUGAUCUACAACUUCAAGCAGCUGUACACAAAGGUGCUCUUCACCAGGUGUUUUAUUGUCACUGAAGAGACGUCCUUGACUCUGAAAGAGUUCUGGAAGAAACACUUCAAUGUCCUUCACUGCAUCAACCUCAUUGACAAAGCCUGGGAAGAGGUCAUGUAUUGGACCUUAAACAGACUGGAGGAAGCUGUGGCCAGAAUGUGUCACUGAAUGUGACUUUGAAGGGUCUCAUGACAGGUAGUGGAGAAGAUUGUGUCCAUGGACAAGAGUAUGGGUCUGGACAUCGAUGGUACAGACAUGGAGGAGCUUGUUGGGGAUCAUAAGGAGGAGCUGAUGACAGAAGAACUUGCUGAACUCCAGAGUGACAGCAGAAGCUGAGAUGAAGAAAAGAGGAAACCCCUCAAGGAGGUCCCCUGAUGUCCUUAUGGAGGGGUCCCUCCCUCCACAACCAACCACCUCCUUCCCACUCACCUUCCUGGCUUCCACACCACAAGUUGCCUCAAGCAAGACGAUAAAUUCAGAGAAAGGUGUGACUUGCCCAGGAUCCUGUUGCCCACAACCUGUAGGUAUGGAACCAGAAGUCAAACAAGCUCAUGUUCUUGUUUUAGACCCCAAGCUUGUGUGCUCAAUUGUGUAGUUUUAUUACUUUCCCUCUGUACCUUCAUUAAGUAUUUUCAGUGCCUAAUUGUCCAUGCUCUGUGCAGGGUGCUAUAAAGGAGGAUUAUACAGGUACAGUGUGCACUAUGACUCUUGUUGACA
This is a long non-coding RNA of Heterocephalus glaber (naked mole-rat), 5553 nucleotides long. RefSeq lists it as uncharacterized. NCBI's taxonomy places the organism in Eukaryota, Metazoa, Chordata, Mammalia, Rodentia, Bathyergidae. The record is from RefSeq and is a predicted model, not a curated record.